GGCACUUUUUAUUGUCAAAAAUUGUUUUGUCUUUUCAUAUAUAAACCAUUUCAAUAUCUUUCAACAAUAAUAUCGCUGUUUGCUCGAUCAUUUGCAUAGGAUAUGUCAACAUAAAAAAAAAAAAAUAAGGAGAGGGAAGGAAAAAAGAGAGGUCUGAAGGGAAGCAGCAAAACAGCAACCAAUACGCUUGAGUUUCUGUAGGUAUUUUUUUUUCAAGAUUAAACAUUUGAAGCCUUACAAAAAGAAAUAUGUACAUCAUCUAUUUACAAUUUAGAGGAACACUUAAAAAACCUAUAACAAACCUUUUAUUUUUUUUAAUUUAUCAAGUCUAUGGAAAAUUGUUUCCUAAAAAAUUUCUACCGUAUACCACAAAAAUAAAUAAAAAGAUGCAAACACUAGUUUUGAACAAAGUUUUGCUGUGAGCUUUUUUCUUUUUUGGCAUGUCAGUUAUUUUAAAUUUUUUUAACCCUUUGGUUUGACAGCAUGGCAUUACAGUUUUAAUAGCUGUGAUCCAAAAUGUCCCAUCUGCACCCAUGUGAUGACUUUUGAGAACUGUACAAACUUGAUCUAUCCUCACCCCACCCACCCCCUGUACCAAAGCCAUGCCUAAAAGAAGGAAUCUCAUUCCUUAUUCUGAACUUGGGAUCAAAGAGUGGAUCAGUUCUCAAAAUCUUUCAAUCCUAUGAGAUUAUAGCUGCAAUUCUAUGUCACCCAAGUGGGAAUGUGCAACUCAAGAAGACUUGAAUCAAGAUAGACAAGAUAAGCAAUAGCACUUAGACUUAUGUACCGCUUCACAGUGCUUCACAGCCCUCUCUAGGGGGUUUACAGAGUCAGCCUCUUGCCCCCAACAAUCCUCAUUUUACCGACCUCGGAAGGAUGGAAGGCUCAGUCAACCAUGAGCCAGUGAGAAUCGAACUGCUGGCAGUCGGCAGAAUUAUCCUGCAAUGCUGAAUUCUAAUCACUGUGCCACCACGGAUAGAAAGAUUGGGUUACACCGGAGUUUAACAGACUGAAGCUAAGCCAAAACCAAAAGAGCCACAUUCACACAACCCAUGUAAUCUAUUUGGUUUUGGCUCAGCCAUUCUGUUUUAUCAUAUGGUUGGGAAUGUUCUACUAACGCAAGCUGAAUGUUCUAUUGUCUUCUGAUCUGGAACAGCUUGUUCCAGCUGGAACAUCAGGAAGGAGAAGAAUUAGUUUAAAAGCAGCCUCAAUCCUAAGGAUCCUUUCACAAGAUCCACCUGAAUCGCUUAUUUAUGAUCAAAACUCUUUAACUAUAUUGUGCAGUCGGGCUUUCUCCCUUUCCACUCUUCAUCCUACACUAGGAACCAAACCAAACAUUUGGACCAACAAAGGGUAAAGCUUACAAUUUGAGGAUUUCUCACUCUUUCUGAAGAAAGCUGAACAAAAUAUCAAAUGAUUAUCAAAACGAUGCAAAAGUCAUGCAGAUGAGUGCUAACUUUUUCCUACGAAACCUAGGAUUUUGGGCUCUUCUUCAGGAAGGUUUCAGCAAUGUGACUCAACAGGGUUGGUCAAUACUCCAUGUCAAAUAACUUUCAACCUCAAAAUAUCUUCUAGAAUGAAAUUUGGGCAUUGUUUUUUUUUUAAAGAGAAUAACAGGGUUUCCUCAGUAGAAGCAGAGGGAUGGAUGAAAAAUGCAAAACAUCCCUCUCUACCUUGUGGACUUUGUCCACAGAAAAGAGCUCCAAUGCUCCACUCAAAAUGUUCAAUGUUGCCAGAAGUGCAAUUAAAAAUUUAGAAAGCAGCCACUCUGAUUGUCCUCUCUCAAAACUUGCCUUACUGUUUUUCAGGCGCGCAUGGGCCUAUCUGG
This is a non-coding RNA of Notechis scutatus (mainland tiger snake), 1828 nucleotides long. The record is from RefSeq and is a predicted model, not a curated record. Lineage: Eukaryota; Metazoa; Chordata; Lepidosauria; Squamata; Elapidae.